RNAcentral lists this unclassified non-coding RNA (343 nucleotides) under soil metagenome. RNAcentral's name for it is "partial contains 5.8S ribosomal RNA, internal transcribed spacer 2, and large subunit ribosomal RNA". The stretch from base 4 to 118 matches the Rfam family "5.8S ribosomal RNA", at positions 40 to 154 of the family's 154-position model. The record is from RNAcentral.
GUGAGAACGUAGCGAAAUGCGAUACGUAAUGUGAAUUGCAGAAUUCAGUGAAUCAUCGAGUCUUUGAACGCACAUUGCGCCCCCUGGUAUUCCGGGGGGCAUGCCUGUCCGAGCGUCAUUGCUGCCCUCAAGCACGGCUUGUGUGUUGGGCCUCCGUCCUCCUCCCGGGGGACGGGCCCGAAAGGCAGCGGCGGCACCGCGUCCGGUCCUCGAGCGUAUGGGGCUUCGUCACCCGCUCUUGUAGGCCCGGCCGGCGCUUGCCGACACAUCAAUCUUUUUUCCAGGUUGACCUCGGAUCAGGUAGGGAUACCCGCUGAACUUAAGCAUAUCAAUAAGCGGAGGA